CAUCCCUGUGCUAAAAGAAGAAGAUGCAGGGAGCAGCCGCCAGAAGCCAUGUUCUGAACUCACUCGGUGGUCCUUUCCCAGGACUGGGGCACAGCAUCCUUACCACUCCCCUGACAUCACACUGCAUAGCUGUAGGAGGCGUCUCGGAAAACCAGUUCCUUUCCCUUGGGCUUCCCAGUCCUCAGAAUGGCCUGGCUUCUGACAACUGUAUUCCCAGCACCCAAUAAAUGCAGGCUGUGUGAUGGAGACUGGAG
Mus caroli (Ryukyu mouse) is the source of this 254-nucleotide non-coding RNA. The record is from RefSeq and is a predicted model, not a curated record. Lineage: Eukaryota; Metazoa; Chordata; Mammalia; Rodentia; Muridae.